Molecule: ribosomal RNA, 255 nt
Filed under: uncultured bacterium
Lineage: Bacteria
Description: partial 16S ribosomal RNA
Rfam family: Bacterial small subunit ribosomal RNA
Source: RNAcentral
UAUCGAAGGAGUGGCGAACGGGUGAGUAACACAUAAGCAACCUGCCCCUAUGUCUGGGAUAACUGUUGGAAACGAUAGCUAAUACCGGAUAGGUUAAGAGAAGGCAUCUUUUCUUAAUUAAAGGUUAGAAACGCAAAGGGAUGGGCUUAUGCCGUAUUAGUUAGUUGGUAAGGUAAUGGCUUACCAAGACGAUGAUACGUAGCCGACCUGAGAGGGUGAACGGCCACAUUGGGACUGAGACACGGCCCAAACUUC